AUGAACAUCCUCAGCUGGAACUGUCGAGGGGGUGGGAGCCCGGCGACAGUGCGUUACCUGCAGUGUUUGGCACAAACUCACUCCCCCAAGAUCGUUUUCCUCUAUGAGACUAGACAACCAAAGGUUAAGAUGAAAAGAUACUGUGCUCGGUUAGGCCUUAGUGGCGUUGAUGCAGUUGAUAGUGUUGGGAGAAGUGGUGGUCUAGCUAUCUUCUGGCAUGAGUCUGUGCAUCUCGAAAUUAAAUCCAUGAAUGAGAGACAUACUGAUGCAUUUUUCAGGGAAUCCGCUGGUGCAACACCUUGGAGGGUGACUUGUGUGUACGGUGUACCUCGGACAGAGGACCGACACCUUAUGUGGAUGCUCAUGCGCGAGUUACAUCUGCAAGUGGACAUGCCUUGGGCGGUGAUUGGGGACUUCAAUGAGGCCAUGUUGGUUUUCAUACACUUCUCUAACACCCCGUGCUCGGCAAGUCACAUGCUCGCCUUCCAUGAUAUUCUGGAGUUGUGUGGUCUUGUGGACCUUGGUUUUUCAGGCCUUCCACACAAAUAUGUUAAUCAGCGCCAGCGACGGGUGAAUGUCAAGGUCUGGCUGGACCGUGCCGUUGUGAACUAUCAAUGGCGGGAUAUUUUUUCUUAA
This 636-nucleotide ribosomal RNA is filed under the name Triticum aestivum (bread wheat). Its description in RNAcentral is "partial small subunit ribosomal RNA". The record is from RNAcentral. Lineage: Eukaryota; Viridiplantae; Streptophyta; Magnoliopsida; Poales; Poaceae.